AUUGAACGCUGGCGGCAGGCCUAACACAUGCAAGUCGAGCGGUAGCACAGGGAGCUUGCUCCUGGGUGACGAGCGGCGGACGAGUGAGUAAUGUCUGGGAAACUGCCUGAUGGAGGGGGAUAACUACUGGAAACGGUAGCUAAUACCGCAUAACGUCGCAAGACCAAAGAGGGGGACCUUCGGGCCUCUUGCCAUCAGAUGUGCCCAGAUGGGAUUAGCUAGUAGGUGGGGUAACGGCUCACCUAGGCGACGAUCCCUAGCUGGUCUGAGAGGAUGACCAGCCACACUGAAACUGAGACACGGUCCAGACUCCUACGGGAGGCAGCAGUGGGGAAUAUUGCACAAUGGGCGCAAGCCUGAUGCAGCCAUGCCGCGUGUAUGAAGAAGGCCUUCGGGUUGUAAAGUACUUUCAGCGGGGAGGAAGGUGUUGAGGUUAAUAACCUCAGCAAUUGACGUUACCCGCAGAAGAAGCACCGGCUAACUCCGUGCCAGCCGCCGCGGUAA
This 504-nucleotide ribosomal RNA is filed under the name uncultured bacterium. RNAcentral's name for it is "partial 16S ribosomal RNA". It matches the Rfam family "Bacterial small subunit ribosomal RNA", at positions 30 to 523 of the family's 1533-position model. The record is from RNAcentral.